RNAcentral lists this small nucleolar RNA (107 nucleotides) under Setaria italica (foxtail millet). RNAcentral describes it as "Plant small nucleolar RNA R71". It matches the Rfam family "Plant small nucleolar RNA R71". Rfam says of the family: R71 is a member of the C/D box family of snoRNAs containing the C (UGAUGA) and D (CUGA) box motifs. Multiple nearly identical copies of this snoRNA have been identified in Arabidopsis, and it is thought to function as a 2'-O-ribose methylation guide for 18S ribosomal RNA. The record is from Rfam by way of RNAcentral. Lineage: Eukaryota; Viridiplantae; Streptophyta; Magnoliopsida; Poales; Poaceae.
AACUUGUGAUAUGGAACUGCACGGACAUAGUCAUUGAAGCGCUCAUAAGCUUCAGCAAUUGUAUCAGUAGGAUACUGAGCAAAAGUAGCUAUCUUGUUUCUCAGAUU